Molecule: ribosomal RNA, 294 nt
Filed under: Streptomyces albus
Lineage: Bacteria; Bacillati; Actinomycetota; Actinomycetes; Kitasatosporales; Streptomycetaceae
Description: partial 16S ribosomal RNA
Rfam family: Bacterial small subunit ribosomal RNA
Source: RNAcentral
CAUUCACGGAGAGUUUGAUCCUGGCUCAGGACGAACGCUGGCGGCGUGCUUAACACAUGCAAGUCGAACGAUGAAGCCGCUUCGGUGGUGGAUUAGUGGCGAACGGGUGAGUAACACGUGGGCAAUCUGCCCUGCACUCUGGGACAAGCCCUGGAAACGGGGUCUAAUACCGGAUAUGACACGGGAUCGCAUGGUCUCCGUGUGGAAAGCUCCGGCGGUGCAGGAUGAGCCCGCGGCCUAUCAGCUUGUUGGUGGGGUGAUGGCCUACCAAGGCGACGACGGGUAGCCGGCCUG